Molecule: ribosomal RNA, 711 nt
Filed under: Meloidogyne incognita (southern root-knot nematode)
Lineage: Eukaryota; Metazoa; Nematoda; Chromadorea; Rhabditida; Meloidogynidae
Description: partial large subunit ribosomal RNA
Rfam family: Eukaryotic large subunit ribosomal RNA
Source: RNAcentral
ACCGUGAGGGAAAGUUGCAAAGCACUUUGAAGAGAGAGUUAAAGAGGACGUGAAACCGGUAAGGUGGAAACGGAUAGAGUCGGCGUAUCAUUCAAUUAUUCAGUUACAUUAUUUUUAUGUUGUGACCUCUGAGCUCCAGAUUGGGACAGAGGGAAUCAGCAUAAUUUUUUGUGGUGCAUUUACUUGAUUGGUGCUUGGGGAUGUUUGAGGCAGAUUUGUUUCCGUCGUUUUGAGGCCAGCUUGCUGGUACCCAAACGGUGUUAGCAUUUUUUGUCUUGGGCAUUUGAGUAUGGCUCACGUGUAUUUAUUGGACAGAUCUGAGUGUAAGUUACGGUCGCAUGCGACACGUGCUUUUCAAUUAGUUCGGUCCAGUUAAUGCUCUCGUACUCGUUCCCCAUGUAAAAGCCGGUCAUCUAUCCGACCCGUCUUGAAACACGGACCAAGGAGUUUAUCGUGUGCGCAAGUUUUUGGGUGUUAAAAACUUAAAAGCGAAAUGAAAGUAAAUGACUCUUUAGAGUCUGAUGUGCGAUCUUGUAAAAAAGUGUAGCAUGGCCCCAUUCUAACUGUUUACAGUAGGGUGGCGGAAGAGCGUACGCGGUGAGACCCGAAAGAUGGUGAACUAUUCCUGAGCAGGACGAAGCCAGAGGAAACUCUGGUGGAAGUCCGAAGCGGUUCUGACGUGCAAAUCGAUCGUCUGACUUGGGUAUAGGG